CAGCAGCCACGGUAAUACGGAGGGAGCUAGCGUUAUUCGGAAUUACUGGGCGUAAAGCGCACGUAGGCGGCCUUGUAAGUUAGAGGUGAAAGCCUGGAGCUCAACUCCAGAAUUGCCUUUAAGACUGCAUCGCUUGAAUCCAGGAGAGGUGAGUGGAAUUCCGAGUGUAGAGGUGAAAUUCGUAGAUAUUCGGAAGAACACCAGUGGCGAAGGCGGCUCACUGGACUGGUAUUGACGCUGAGGUGCGAAAGCGUGGGGAGCAAACGGGAUUAGAUACCCCUGUAGUCCCUGUCUCUUAUAC
RNAcentral lists this ribosomal RNA (301 nucleotides) under uncultured bacterium. RNAcentral describes it as "partial 16S ribosomal RNA". It matches the Rfam family "Bacterial small subunit ribosomal RNA", at positions 509 to 807 of the family's 1533-position model. The record is from RNAcentral.